GAUGAACGCUGGCGGCGUGCCUAAUACAUGCAAGUCGAGCGAAUGGAUUAAGAGCUUGCUCUUAUGAAGUUAGCGGCGGACGGGUGAGUAACACGUGGGUAACCUGCCCAUAAGACUGGGAUAACUCCGGGAAACCGGGGCUAAUACCGGAUAACAUUUUGAACCGCAUGGUUCGAAAUUGACAGGCGGCUUCGGCUGUCACUUAUGGAUGGUCCCGCGUUGCAUUAGCUAGUUGGUGAGGUAACGGCUCACCAAGGCAACGAUGCGUAGCCGACCUGAGCGGGAGAUCUGCUACACUGGGACUGAGGCACGGCCCAGACUCCUACGGGUGGCAGCAGUAGGGAAUGUUCCGCAAUGGACGAAAGUCUGAAGGAGCAACGCCGCGUGAGUGAUGAAGGCUUUCGGGUCGUAAAACUCUGUUGUUAGGGAAAAACAAGUGCUAGUUGAAUAAGCUGGCACCUUGACGGUACCUAACCAGAAAGCCACGGCUAACUACGUGCCAGCCGCCGCGGUAA
RNAcentral lists this ribosomal RNA (515 nucleotides) under uncultured bacterium. RNAcentral's name for it is "partial 16S ribosomal RNA". It matches the Rfam family "Bacterial small subunit ribosomal RNA", at positions 28 to 523 of the family's 1533-position model. The record is from RNAcentral.